GUUAGGAAUCUUCCGCAAUGGACGGAAGUCUGACGGAGCGACGCCGCUUGGAGGAGGAAGCCCUUCGGGGUGUAAACUCCUGAACUGGGGACGAAAGCCCUGUGUAGGGGGAUGACGGUACCCAGGUAAUAGCGCCGGCCAACUCCGUGCCAGCAGCCGCGGUAAUACGGAGGGCGCGAGCGUUACCCGGAUUUACUGGGCGUAAAGGGCGUGUAGGCGGCCUGGGGCGUCCCAUGUGAAAGGCCACGGCUCAACCGUGGAGGAGCGUGGGAUACGCUCAGGCUAGAGGGUGGGAGAGGGUGGUGGAAUUCCCGGAGUAGCGGUGAAAUGCGCAGAUACCGGGAGGAACGCCGAUGGCGAAGGCAGCCACCUGGUCCACUUCUGACGCUGAGGCGCGAAAGCGUGGGGAGCAAACCGGAUUAGAAACCCUAGUAGUCC
RNAcentral lists this ribosomal RNA (438 nucleotides) under uncultured Thermus sp. Its description in RNAcentral is "bacterial SSU rRNA". It matches the Rfam family "Bacterial small subunit ribosomal RNA", at positions 354 to 796 of the family's 1533-position model. Lineage: Bacteria; Thermotogati; Deinococcota; Deinococci; Thermales; Thermaceae. The record is from RNAcentral.